CAGUCGCCACGGUAAUACGUAGGGUGCAAGCGUUAAUCGGAAUUACUGGGCGUAAAGCGUGCGCAGGCGGUUUUGUAAGACAGAGGUGAAAUCCCCGGGCUCAACCUGGGAACCGCCUUUGUGACUGCAAGGCUGGAGUGCGGCAGAGGGGGAUGGAAUUCCGCGUGUAGCAGUGAAAUGCGUAGAUAUGCGGAGGAACACCGAUGGCGAAGGCAAUCCCCUGGGCCUGCACUGACGCUCAUGCACGAAAGCGUGGGGAGCAAACAGGAUUAGAUACCCCGGUAGUCCCUGUCUCUUAUAC
RNAcentral lists this ribosomal RNA (301 nucleotides) under uncultured bacterium. RNAcentral's name for it is "partial 16S ribosomal RNA". It matches the Rfam family "Bacterial small subunit ribosomal RNA", at positions 509 to 807 of the family's 1533-position model. The record is from RNAcentral.